AACGAACGCUGGCGGCAUGCCUAACACAUGCAAGUCGAACGAGACCUUCGGGUCUAGUGGCGCACGGGUGCGUAACGCGUGGGAACCUGCCCUUAGGUUCGGAAUAACUCCCCGAAAGGGGUGCUAAUACCGGAUAAUGUCUUCGGACCAAAGAUUUAUCGCCUUUGGAUGGGCCCGCGUUGGAUUAGCUAGUUGGUAGGGUAAAAGCCUACCAAGGCGACGAUCCAUAGCUGGUCUGAGAGGAUGAUCAGCCACACUGAGACUGAGACACGGCCCAGACUCCUACGGGAGGCAGCAGUGGAGAAUAUUGGACAAGGGGCGAAAGCCUGAUCCAGCAAUGCCGCGUGAGUGAUGAAGGCCUUAGGGUUGUAAAGCUCUUUUAGCCGGGAUGAUAAUGACAGUACCGGGAGAAUAAGCUCCGGCUAACUCCGUG
This 433-nucleotide ribosomal RNA is filed under the name uncultured bacterium. RNAcentral describes it as "partial 16S ribosomal RNA". It matches the Rfam family "Bacterial small subunit ribosomal RNA", at positions 29 to 507 of the family's 1533-position model. The record is from RNAcentral.